Molecule: ribosomal RNA, 245 nt
Filed under: uncultured bacterium
Lineage: Bacteria
Description: partial 16S ribosomal RNA
Rfam family: Bacterial small subunit ribosomal RNA
Source: RNAcentral
UACGGGGGGGACAAGCGUUAUUCUUCGUAAUUGGGCGUAAAGGGUACGUAGGUGGUGGAGUAAGUUUUAAGUGAAAUCCCCUGAGCAUAACUUGGGAAGCGCUUAUUAUACUGCUUUGCUAGAGUACAAGAGAGGACAGUUGUACCCUUAAUUUAGAGGUGAAAUUCUACGAGAUUAACGGGGACAACCAAUAGGCGAUAGCGACUGUCUAGCUUGGUACUGACACUGAGGUACGAAAGCGUGGG